CGGAUGCCUUACCAUGCAGUCGAGCGGCAGCGCGGUCUUCGUACUGGCGGCUGAGCGGCGAACGGGUGAGUAAUACAUCGGAACGUGCCCGGUCGUGGGGGAUAACACUUCUAAAGAAAUGCUAAUACCGCAUACGUCCUGAGGGAGAAAGCGGGGGAUCUCCGGAUCUCGCGCUAUUGGAGUGGCCUAUGUCAGAUUAUCUAGGUGGUAGGGGUAGAGCGCCUACCGGGGCACACAUAUCUGUCUCGUGGGUCUGAGAAGAAGAACACCCACUACUGGGCAGUAGACACACGGCCCAAACUCCUACGGGAGGCAGCAGUGGGGAAUUUUGGACUAGGGGGGCAACCCUGAUCCAGCCGUUCCGCGUGAGUGAAGAAGGGCUUCGGGUUGUAAAGCUCUUUCGGCAGGAAAGAAACGGCGAGCUCUAACAUAUCUCGCUAAUGACGGUACCUGAAGAAGAAGCACCCGCUAACUACGUGCCCGCACCCGCGGUUAUACAUAGGGUGCGAGCGUUUAUCAGAAUUACUGGGCGUAAAGCGUGCGCGCGCGGUUGUGUAAGACAUGUGUGAAAUCCCCGGUCUUCACCUGGGAACUGCGCUUGAGACUGCACGGCUAGAGUAUGGCAGAGGGGGGUGGAAUUCCGCGUGUAGCUGUGAUGUGCAUAGAGAUGUAGAAGGACACCGAUGGAGAACGCAGCCCCCUGGGCCCAUACUGACUCUCGUGCGCGAGAGCGUGGGGAGCACACGAGAUUAUAUACUCUGGUAGUACACGCCCUACAAUAUGUCCACUACGUGUUCGGUGAGGAGACUCAUGGAGUAACGCAGCUAACACGUGAAGUCGACCGCGUGGGGAGUACCGUAGCAAGAUUACAAAUCAAAGGAAUUGGCGGGGACCCGCACAAGCGGUGGAUGAUGUGGAUUAAUUCGAUGCGACGCGAACAACCUUACCUACCCAUGUCAUGUACGGAACCCAGAUGAGAGGUGGUGCUGCUGGAAAGAGAGCCACAACACAGGUGCGGCAGGGCUGUCGUCAGCUCGUGUCGUGAGAUGUUGGGUCAAGUCCCGCGCCGAGCGCAACCCUUGUCAUUAGAGGGUACGCAAGAGCACUCUAAUGAGACUGCCGGUGACAAACCGGAGGAAGGUGGGGAGGACGUCAAGUCCUCAUGGCCCCUAUGGGUAGGGCUUCACACGUCAUACAAUGGUCGGUACAGAGGGUGGCCAAGCCGCGAGGGGGAGCCAAUCCCAGAAAGCCGAUCGCAGUCCGGAUCGCAGUCUGCAACUCGAGUGCGUGAAGUCGGAAUCGCUAGUAAUCGCGGAUCAGCAUGCCGCGGUGAAUACGUUCCCGGGUCUUGUACACACCGCCCGUCACACCAUGGGAGUGGGUUCACCAGAAGAGGCUAGCCUAACCGUAAGGAGGGCGCU
RNAcentral lists this ribosomal RNA (1421 nucleotides) under Methyloversatilis thermotolerans. RNAcentral's name for it is "bacterial SSU rRNA". It matches the Rfam family "Bacterial small subunit ribosomal RNA". Lineage: Bacteria; Pseudomonadati; Pseudomonadota; Betaproteobacteria; Nitrosomonadales; Sterolibacteriaceae. The record is from RNAcentral.